AAGUUGCGUGCGAGAAGUUCAGAAGAAGCAGCAUGGUGGACCAAGUGUUUAAUGGAGUAUGCCUUAAAGAUUGUUGUGCUUGAGAGGAUAUAAUGCAUUGUGAAAUUGGACCUGCUUGUUGAAGAAUACACAAGGUCUUAUAUGAUGGUCAUAUUUUUUGAUCAAUGUUGGAUCAAUUUUGGAUGACUUAGCUAGAUUUUAUUUUCAGCUGCUAUAUGCAUGCUUGUAUGUUGGCUUGAUGGCAAGCAUCUUAAGCUAGUGACAUGACUAUAUAUGUACACAUUUGAUAUGGAUGAAUGAGAAUAUUAUUGAUGUGCCAAUUUGUGUA
Molecule: long non-coding RNA, 328 nt
Organism: Sorghum bicolor (sorghum)
Lineage: Eukaryota; Viridiplantae; Streptophyta; Magnoliopsida; Poales; Poaceae
Exons: 2
Source: RefSeq, a predicted model, not a curated record